CUCCUGUUAGUUCAAACGGAAGAACAUCGACCUUCUAAGUCGCAGGUUACUGGUUCGAGUCCAGUACGGGAGACAA
This 76-nucleotide transfer RNA is filed under the name Cronobacter phage vB_CsaM_GAP32. RNAcentral's name for it is "tRNA-Arg". It matches the Rfam family "tRNA". Rfam says of the family: Transfer RNA (tRNA) molecules are approximately 80 nucleotides in length. Their secondary structure includes four short double-helical elements and three loops (D, anti-codon, and T loops). The record is from RNAcentral. Lineage: Duplodnaviria; Heunggongvirae; Uroviricota; Caudoviricetes.